This is a small nuclear RNA of Zalophus californianus (California sea lion), 103 nucleotides long. Lineage: Eukaryota; Metazoa; Chordata; Mammalia; Carnivora; Otariidae. The record is from Ensembl.
GUGCUUGCUUUGGCAGCGCGUAGACUAAAAUUGGAAUAAGGGAAGAUUGGCAUGUCGCCGGCACAAGGAUGACAUGAAAAUUCAUGAAGCGUUUCAUUUUUUC